This 92-nucleotide transfer RNA is filed under the name Peptococcaceae bacterium. RNAcentral's name for it is "tRNA-Ser". It matches the Rfam family "tRNA". From Rfam's summary of the family: Transfer RNA (tRNA) molecules are approximately 80 nucleotides in length. Their secondary structure includes four short double-helical elements and three loops (D, anti-codon, and T loops). The record is from RNAcentral. Lineage: Bacteria; Bacillati; Bacillota; Clostridia; Eubacteriales; Peptococcaceae.
GGAGAGAUGGCCGAGUCGGCUGAAGGCGGUCGCCUGCUAAGCGACUAUGGGGUCAUAAAGCUCCAUCGCGGGUUCGAAUCCCGCCCUCUCCG